Molecule: ribosomal RNA, 423 nt
Filed under: Salmonella enterica subsp. enterica serovar Typhimurium
Lineage: Bacteria; Pseudomonadati; Pseudomonadota; Gammaproteobacteria; Enterobacterales; Enterobacteriaceae
Description: bacterial LSU rRNA
Rfam family: Bacterial large subunit ribosomal RNA
Source: RNAcentral
GAAUGGGGAAACCCAGUGUGAUUCGUCACACUAUCAUUAACUGAAUCCAUAGGUUAAUGAGGCGAACCGGGGGAACUGAAACAUCUAAGUACCCCGAGGAAAAGAAAUCAACCGAGAUUCCCCCAGUAGCGGCGAGCGAACGGGGAGGAGCCCAGAGCCUGAAUCAGCAUGUGUGUUAGUGGAAGCGUCUGGAAAGGUGCGCGAUACAGGGUGACAGCCCCGUACACAAAAGCGCAUGUGCUGUGAGCUCGAUGAGUAGGGCGGGACACGUGGUAUCCUGUCUGAAUAUGGGGGGACCAUCCUCCAAGGCUAAAUACUCCUGACUGACCGAUAGUGAACCAGUACCGUGAGGGAAAGGCGAAAAGAACCCCGGCGAGGGGAGUGAAAAAGAACCUGAAACCGUGUACGUACAAGCAGUGGGAG